RNAcentral lists this unclassified non-coding RNA (412 nucleotides) under soil metagenome. RNAcentral's name for it is "partial contains 5.8S ribosomal RNA, internal transcribed spacer 2, and large subunit ribosomal RNA". The stretch from base 1 to 122 matches the Rfam family "5.8S ribosomal RNA", at positions 35 to 154 of the family's 154-position model. The record is from RNAcentral.
GAUGAAGAACGUAGCGAAAUGCGAUACUUGGUGUGAAUUGCAGAAUCCCGUGAACCAUCGAGUCUUUGAACGCAAGUUGCGCCCGAAGCCGUCAGGCCGAGGGCACGCCUGCCUGGGCGUCACACGCCGUUGCCCCCCCGCGCCCCGCACCCAACUCUUUGGGAGCGACCGCGGGGCGGGCUGAUGAUGGCCUCCCGUGCGCUCCGCCGCGCGGUUGGCCCAAAUACCGAGUCCCCGGCGACGUGCGCCACGACGAUCGGUGGUUGAGAGACCUCUGUCGCAAGUCGUGCGCGCCCGUCGCGUCACGCGGGCUCGCAUAGCGCCUCGCGCCGCACCCGGUGCGUAGCUUUCAACGCGACCCCAGGUCAGGCGGGGUUACCCGCUGAAUUUAAGCAUAUCAAUAAGCGGAGGA